This 405-nucleotide ribosomal RNA is filed under the name uncultured bacterium. RNAcentral's name for it is "partial 16S ribosomal RNA". It matches the Rfam family "Bacterial small subunit ribosomal RNA", at positions 28 to 526 of the family's 1533-position model. The record is from RNAcentral.
GAUGAACGCUGGCGGCGUGCCUAAUACAUGCAAGUCGAGCGCAGCGGGGACGGGUGAGUAACACGUGGAUAACCUACUUUAAGUCUGGGAUAACUUCGGGAAACCGGUGCUAAACCGGCUACUUGUAGGUGGAUCAGCGCUGCAUUAGCUAGUUGGUAAGGUAACGGCUUACCAAGGCAACGAUGCAUAGCCGACCUGAGAGGGUGAUCGGCCACACUGGAACUGAGACACGGUCCAGACUCCUACGGGAGGCAGCAGUAGGGAAUCUUCCGCAAUGGGCGAAAGCCUGACGGAGCAACGCCGCGUGAGUGAUGAAGGUCUUCGGAUCGUAAAACUCUGUUAUUAGGGAAGCGGUACCUAAUCAGAAAGCCACGGCUAACUACGUGCCAGCAGCCGCGGUAAUUC